Molecule: transfer RNA, 64 nt
Filed under: Conwentzia sinica
Lineage: Eukaryota; Metazoa; Arthropoda; Insecta; Neuroptera; Coniopterygidae
Description: tRNA-Cys
Source: RNAcentral
GGCCUUACAAUCUUUGAAAGAUAUUAAAUUGCAAAUUUAAUUAAAAUUGUAAAAUUUAAGGCUU